This 1111-nucleotide long non-coding RNA is filed under the name Numida meleagris (helmeted guineafowl). RNAcentral's name for it is "lncRNA (ENSNMEG00000017326.1)". Lineage: Eukaryota; Metazoa; Chordata; Aves; Galliformes; Numididae. The record is from RNAcentral.
CUGAUUACACCUUAUUUGCAUAUUUUAUCUGAUUUUAGAAAAAGAAAGAAAGGAAAAGGGAAAGGGAAAGGGAAAGGAAAAGGAAAAGGAAAAGGAAAAGGAAAAGGAAAAGGAAAAGGAAAAGGAAAAGGAAAAGGAAAAGAGUUUACUUUGAAGAACACAUACAUGUGCUUUUUAAAAAUAUUAAUACCAUUGGUUUUCUGUGAUAUAUGAGUAUUGUGAAAAGCUCCUGCUUUACAAUGCAUUCAUCUCUAGCAAGCUGCUGUAAUAAAAUUUGAGUGGUCACAGACAACAUCCAGCUGACAUAAAUACACACUUCCUGCAUUUUCAAUUCCUCAGAUGUUGAAAGAUUGGUUGAAAAGUAAAAAGCAGAAGGAGAAUCUGACUUAAAAAUUAUGUUUGUCCACACAGAGAUGUCAGGUGAAGCAAUAACAAUAGAUGGAAGAUGAAGGAGAAAAUCUGCAUGUUUGUGCUAUUUUUAUAGGACUAUUGAGAUCAGAAGGAGAACAGCAUUUAUUCCAGAAGACCCUGUAAUAUUUCUCACAGGUGCAGACAUUACUGAAUAUCCUGAAGGGCAGAAGGAGAAGGAGCCAGUCUGCUGGCUGUUGCACAUUAAGAUACCAAAUGGACUAAUUCUCCUACUGAAUAAAAGCAGGAAGAAAGCAAGACAUCCAGCUACAGGAAGAAAAAAAUCACAUGAGAUUUGGCUAAUAUGAAGGACUGCAAAUGAUAAGAAUUAUAAGGAAAAUGAACAUGAGAGAGGUGCAUGGGAUAGGAGAAAGAGGUAAACUUGGGAGAGCUGAAGAGGGAGUUCCCAAUUAGAAAGUAGAAGCUGAAUUAGCUGAGGCUCCUGGCUAACUUGUGAAUGAAAGACACAGAAAAUUCUUUCAGACUGCAGUGAUUUCAUUCCCAUCUACAGGACUGUUAGUAAAGAUUCCCAGAAACACACACUACUUACAUGGCUUUUGCAGAGUACCAGCAUAAGAAUCUGAGACAGCAUUGCAAGUUUUUGUUUUAUUCUCAGACUUAGUAUGAAGUAAUUUUCCUGUAACAUGAGGAAUCAUCUUUCUUAAAUAUUGCACUCGGGCUGCUAUAAAUAAUUUCCUUUACA